GAUCCUGGCUCGGGAUUAACGCUGGCGGCGUGCCUAACACAUGCAAGUCGAGCGGCAGCGAGUUUUACACUGAAUUCUGGAAGCUUCUAGUUGAAAGAGAAGAUUUAUUCAAGAAUUUUGUGUAAAAUGUCGGCGAGCGGCGGACGGCUGAGUAACGCGUGGGAACGUACCCCAAAGUGAGGGAUAACGCAUCGAAAGGUGUGCUAAUACCGCAUAUGGUCUUCGGAUUAAAGCCUUCGGCGCUUGGACGG
This 251-nucleotide ribosomal RNA is filed under the name uncultured bacterium. Its description in RNAcentral is "partial 16S ribosomal RNA". It matches the Rfam family "Bacterial small subunit ribosomal RNA", at positions 15 to 228 of the family's 1533-position model. The record is from RNAcentral.